Molecule: unclassified non-coding RNA, 240 nt
Filed under: Hevea brasiliensis (rubber tree)
Lineage: Eukaryota; Viridiplantae; Streptophyta; Magnoliopsida; Malpighiales; Euphorbiaceae
Source: RNAcentral
CAUGAGUUGUAGUGACAGAAAUUUAUCUUCUCCAACCAAUUCCAGGCAAGAUUCAUUUGUCCAACACCAACAAAAUUGCCUCAAUCCCUCUGUUCCCUUCAAUUAAUCAAGCUUGGAUGUUCCUUUUUCCUGGAAAUGGAAUAUCAAACGAAAGACAGAGAGAGAGAUGCAAUUCCAACACCUUUGAGAGACAAACUAGGUCCCACUGCCUUCUUUAAUCAUCAAAGAACUUAUCCCAAC